CGCCGGCUACGGCGCUGUUACAGGGCCGGGCAUGGCAGACCCGCAGUGCCCCUUUUGGGGACGGCAUGGCACCCUUUCAGCGAUUUGAUUGGGCUGCGGAACCGUUUCACGCUACAUAUAUGCCCAGAGAAGCAGGUCGGUGACCGAAUCCCGGCCUGGGCAAAGCCACUUAAGGACGCGAUUAUGAGCAUCGAGCAAUUCAUCGACAACGAAGUGAAGUCCAACGACGUCGUGCUGUUCAUGAAGGGCACGCCGCAGUUUCCGCAGUGCGGAUUCUCGGGCCAGGUGGUCCAGAUCCA
This 299-nucleotide unclassified non-coding RNA is filed under the name Hevea brasiliensis (rubber tree). Lineage: Eukaryota; Viridiplantae; Streptophyta; Magnoliopsida; Malpighiales; Euphorbiaceae. The record is from RNAcentral.